GACAGGGAAACACAGACAGCACAGGAAACCAGAUCUAUGAAUGCUGUCUGCAAAUUGAAGAAGGAUUGUUUCAUCAAUUUGUGUUUUAACUUCAUCUCCUGAAUCUGGCGGUCUGCAAUAAGGCUGACUCACUGAUCAUGCUUUUUUUCACAACAAAAAAUUCACAGCAUGGACCAAGAAGCCUGAGAUCCCUCAGCAGCUCCAGAUAAAACAGUGUCAAUGUC
Long non-coding RNA from Pipra filicauda (Wire-tailed manakin), 224 nucleotides. RefSeq lists it as uncharacterized. Lineage: Eukaryota; Metazoa; Chordata; Aves; Passeriformes; Pipridae. The transcript is spliced from 2 exons. The record is from RefSeq and is a predicted model, not a curated record.